This 931-nucleotide long non-coding RNA is filed under the name Gossypium barbadense (sea-island cotton). RNAcentral's name for it is "long non-coding RNA (GBAR_LNC011799)". Lineage: Eukaryota; Viridiplantae; Streptophyta; Magnoliopsida; Malvales; Malvaceae. The record is from RNAcentral.
AAUAAAUUGAAAAAAAAUCGAAGAUUAAUGAAAAAAAUACUCAAAAAUACAAUUUAGAACCAUUUUAUAAAAUAUACAAAAUUUAGUGUUAAAAUUUAUCAUUAAGCCAUGAAAUAUAUUUUUAGUUCACGCAAUUCGUAUAUUUCUUAUUUUAUUUAAAUUUUUUGAAAGUCUGAUAGUCUUUAUUCACUCUUCGACUCCCUAGGAAACCGAAACCCACUUCCCAAUUACCAAUUAUUUCGAUUUUCCUUUCCCACAACACCUCCAAACAAAAAAAUCAAAGCCUAAUGAGCCAUCCCAAAUUCCCGAAGUAUGCCACAACCAUCCUCCUGCCAUUCCAUUCUUCCUUUUAGACCGUCAUUUGUAUUCUUCAAACCCUUUGAGAGUUUCUGAGGCAGUGUUUAAAAAGGUUCACCGGUCGAGGCAUACUAUCUAAGCGACUCUCCUAGUGGGUUACCCGAAGACGACGAUCGACGGCAGCAAAUAGUGAGAUUCAAGAUGAGAGAAAAGCUUAAGUCUAAAGAGAAGAAAGAGAUGUAGUCGGCAGCAAAACAUAACCAAGGCUAAAAAGAAAAGAAGCAGAAAUGAUAACUUUUUUUUUGUGUGUGUGUUUAUGUGUUUAAGUUAGGCAGGUGACUACUGACUAGGGCUGUGUUUUAUAUUUCAAUCCAUUUAAUUAUUUUGGGUUGGGUUUGUUAAAAUUUAAGAGUUUGGGCCGAAAAGGGUAAUAUUCCGGUUUGGGUCAGUAAAUUUUGCCCAAAUAUAUAAAAAAACCGGUUCAUCCAGUUUGUAGUUUGCAGUCUAACCGCGAUUCGCAGUGGUUCAUGGUUCAAAUGGUUUUUCCUUUUACAUUGUAAUGAUAUACCAGUCAGUUCUCGGUCCGAUUUAAAUAUUAUUGAUUAAAAUUUAAAUUUAGCUCUAUAAAUAGCGG